CAAGCCGGCUGCACGGGGCACCUCAUCUCUGGGUUACGCUCCUUUGUAUUUCAGAAAUGAACAAACAAACUCUAACAAACACAAAGAGCAUCUGGCAAGUACUGCAAACAACAAGGAGGGAAAGGAAGCAUGAGCUCUCCUUGCAAGUUGGAGUAUGAAUAUUGCCUCAUGACUGAAAUGAAUAACAACUUCCCUAUUUAAUUAAGCCGUUUGAGAUUUGCAUUUGUGCUCACUGAAACCAUCACUCUUCUUUCCUGUGUUAUCAUGGCUGCACCUCAGCUCAGAGGAAAAGGAACAGAUACUCUCUGUGUGGGAAGACAGGACAACAAAUUGCAUGCAUAUUGCCACCCCCUGCCAGGGAAAGGCUGUGAAGUCUCCAUCCUCAGAAAUAUCCAAAACGCAAAUCAACAAAGGCUUGGACAAUCUACUCUGGCCAGCUGUGCCUGUAUAAGAGGGGUAGGACUGAAUGAUUUCCAGAGUUCCCAUUCAACCUCAGCUACUCUGUGCAAAAACUAACAGGUACUAUCAAAGAAAGAGUGUGUUGAUCUUCCUAAAACAUAUUAGAUCGCAAGUUAAAGACCUAAUGCACUAUUUCCCUGUAUAGGAAAAUAUGAAGUGAGAAACUGUGAGAGGAAAGGGAGAGAGGCUGACAAGACACCCACAUUCUAAGAAAUUCUUUACGGUAGUAAGGACAGUUUCUUUCAAAUGCAUAAUAUGCCGG
RNAcentral lists this long non-coding RNA (721 nucleotides) under Numida meleagris (helmeted guineafowl). Its description in RNAcentral is "lncRNA (ENSNMEG00000013732.1)". The record is from RNAcentral. Lineage: Eukaryota; Metazoa; Chordata; Aves; Galliformes; Numididae.